RNAcentral lists this ribosomal RNA (247 nucleotides) under uncultured bacterium. RNAcentral's name for it is "partial 16S ribosomal RNA". It matches the Rfam family "Bacterial small subunit ribosomal RNA", at positions 334 to 598 of the family's 1533-position model. The record is from RNAcentral.
UACACCUACGGGGGGCAGCAGUGUGGAAUAUUGCACAAUGGGGGAAACCCUGAUGCAGCGACGCCGCGUGAGUGAUGAAGUAUUUCGGUAUGUAAAGCUCUCUCAGCAGGGAAGAUAAUGACGGUACCUGACUAAGAAGCUCCGGCUAAAUACGUGCCAGCAGCCGCGGUAAUACGUAUGGUGCAAGCGUUAUCCGGAUUUACUGGGUGUAAAGGGAGCGUAGACGGCAUUGCAAGUCUGUUGUGAA